CGCGUAGGUGGCUCUGUAAGUAGGUGGUGAAAGCCCACGGCUCAACCGUGGAUACGCCUCCUAAACUGUGGAGCUUGAGGCUGGGAGAGGGAAUCGGAAUUCCUGGUGUAGCGGUGAAAUGCGUAGAUAUCAGGAGGAACACCGGUGGCGAAGGCGGAUUCCUGGACCAGUUCUGACACUGAGGAGCGAAAGCCAGGGGAGCAAACA
RNAcentral lists this ribosomal RNA (207 nucleotides) under uncultured bacterium. Its description in RNAcentral is "partial 16S ribosomal RNA". It matches the Rfam family "Bacterial small subunit ribosomal RNA", at positions 568 to 774 of the family's 1533-position model. The record is from RNAcentral.